Molecule: ribosomal RNA, 451 nt
Filed under: uncultured Fibrobacter sp.
Lineage: Bacteria; Pseudomonadati; Fibrobacterota; Fibrobacteria; Fibrobacterales; Fibrobacteraceae
Description: partial 16S ribosomal RNA
Rfam family: Bacterial small subunit ribosomal RNA
Source: RNAcentral
ACGGGAGGCAGCAGUAGGGAAUAUUGCACAAUGGGGGGAACCCUGAUGCAGCAACGCCACGUGUGGGAAGACGCAUUUCGGUGUGUAAACCACUGUCGUGAGGGAAUAAGGCUACUUUCCGGAGUAUUUGAAUGUACCUUGAAAGGAAGCACCGGCAAACUUCGUGCCAGCAGCCGCGGUAAUACGAGGGGUGCAAGCGUUGUUCGGAAUCACUGGGCGUAAAGGGAGCGCAGGCGGAGAUGCAAGCGGACUGUACAAUACCGGGGCCCAACCCCGGACCUGCAGUCCGGACUGCACCUCUUGGAUAGUUCAGGGGCAAGCGGAAUUCCUGGUGUAGCGGUGGAAUGCGUAGAGAUCAGGAAGAACACCGAUGGCGAAGGCAGCUUGCUGGGGACUAAUCGACGCUCAUGCUCGAAAGUGCGGGUAGCAAACAGGAUUAGAUACCCUGGUA